This 73-nucleotide transfer RNA is filed under the name Myotis brandtii (Brandt's bat). It matches the Rfam family "tRNA". From Rfam's summary of the family: Transfer RNA (tRNA) molecules are approximately 80 nucleotides in length. Their secondary structure includes four short double-helical elements and three loops (D, anti-codon, and T loops). Further hydrogen bonds mediate the characteristic L-shaped molecular structure. tRNAs have two regions of fundamental functional importance: the anti-codon, which is responsible for specific mRNA codon recognition, and the 3' end, to which the tRNAs corresponding amino acid is attached (by aminoacyl-tRNA synthetases). tRNAs cope with the degeneracy of the genetic code in two manners: having more than one tRNA (with a specific anti-codon) for a particular amino acid; and 'wobble' base-pairing, i.e. permitting non-standard base-pairing at the 3rd anti-codon position. The record is from Rfam by way of RNAcentral. Lineage: Eukaryota; Metazoa; Chordata; Mammalia; Chiroptera; Vespertilionidae.
GCCGGUGUGGCUCAGCGGGUAGAGCUUCGGCCUGCAGACCCAAGGGUCCCAGGUUCAAUUCCAGUCAAGGGCA